GCUUCGAUAGCUUAGUUGGUAAAGCGCUAAUCUGAAGAAUUAGAUACCGAUUGUUCGAGUCAAUCUCGAAGCA
Serendipita vermifera MAFF 305830 is the source of this 73-nucleotide transfer RNA. It matches the Rfam family "tRNA". From Rfam's summary of the family: Transfer RNA (tRNA) molecules are approximately 80 nucleotides in length. Their secondary structure includes four short double-helical elements and three loops (D, anti-codon, and T loops). The record is from Rfam. Lineage: Eukaryota; Fungi; Basidiomycota; Agaricomycetes; Sebacinales; Serendipitaceae.